UCUAAAAACAAAUGAUUACAUUAUGAUUUACAAAUAUUCAUAUGUUUUAUACAAAUUGGCAUUUAUGGUUCAUUUGAUCAUCCUGACGUAGGUCAAAUAAAAAUGCUGUAAUUGGAACAUCGAUUGAACGAUCGAUGCCAAUAGUCUCUAGAGGACACAAAGCAAAACAAGCCCGCAGAUCAGCGAUUAAGAAUAAUAAGUCAUCAUGACACAAUAUUCGCGUAGACGUUAAGAUCUUUUGCAAGAGCAGCAAAAAAUAAGACAAUAAAUUUUUUCAUGCUGAUAAAAAUCAUUCAUCUAGAAAAUUUUAGAAGAAACUGUGUACAUAAUUUAAGUAUGCGACCAUCUUGCAACGCAUUAGAAAAUGUCUCAAACAAUAUUACGGAAAUAUUAUUUUAAUCACAAACCUCUUCCUUAGUAGGAAUGUAAAUUGUACGUGGUCCAGGUUUUGUGAGGAAUUUAUUUACUAAACGAAUGUUAGCGAACGUGCCUCGUACCAUUACAGCGUCGUUACCUCUUCGUGCACCGUAAGAAUUGAAUUCUUUUGGUGUCAAUCUAGAAGUCAAGAUAAAAUAAUUAAUUAAAUAUUUAUUUAUCCUGUU
Frieseomelitta varia is the source of this 602-nucleotide long non-coding RNA. RefSeq lists it as uncharacterized. The transcript is spliced from 2 exons. NCBI's taxonomy places the organism in Eukaryota, Metazoa, Arthropoda, Insecta, Hymenoptera, Apidae. The record is from RefSeq and is a predicted model, not a curated record.